GACAGAGGUGCCGAGCGUUAGGCGGAAUCACUGGGCUUAAAGCGUGUGUAGGCGGAUCCGUAAGUACCUUGUGAAAUCCCACGGCUCAACCGUGGAACUGCUUGGUAUACUGCGGGUCUUGAGCCACCUAGGGGCGGGCGGAACAAGUGGUGGAGCGGUGAAAUGCGUAGAUAUCACUUGGAACGCCAAUGGUGAAAACAGCUCGCUGGGGGUGUGCUGACGCUGAGACACGAAAGCCAGGGGAGCAAACGGG
RNAcentral lists this ribosomal RNA (253 nucleotides) under uncultured bacterium. RNAcentral describes it as "partial 16S ribosomal RNA". It matches the Rfam family "Bacterial small subunit ribosomal RNA", at positions 524 to 776 of the family's 1533-position model. The record is from RNAcentral.